RNAcentral lists this transfer RNA (75 nucleotides) under Bordetella pertussis. RNAcentral describes it as "tRNA-Ile". It matches the Rfam family "tRNA". Rfam says of the family: Transfer RNA (tRNA) molecules are approximately 80 nucleotides in length. Their secondary structure includes four short double-helical elements and three loops (D, anti-codon, and T loops). Further hydrogen bonds mediate the characteristic L-shaped molecular structure. tRNAs have two regions of fundamental functional importance: the anti-codon, which is responsible for specific mRNA codon recognition, and the 3' end, to which the tRNAs corresponding amino acid is attached (by aminoacyl-tRNA synthetases). tRNAs cope with the degeneracy of the genetic code in two manners: having more than one tRNA (with a specific anti-codon) for a particular amino acid; and 'wobble' base-pairing, i.e. permitting non-standard base-pairing at the 3rd anti-codon position. The record is from RNAcentral. Lineage: Bacteria; Pseudomonadati; Pseudomonadota; Betaproteobacteria; Burkholderiales; Alcaligenaceae.
GGGUCUGUAGCUCAGUCGGUUAGAGCACCGUCUUGAUAAGGCGGGGGUCGUUGGUUCGAAUCCAACGACCCACCA